This 512-nucleotide ribosomal RNA is filed under the name uncultured bacterium. RNAcentral's name for it is "partial 16S ribosomal RNA". It matches the Rfam family "Bacterial small subunit ribosomal RNA", at positions 28 to 507 of the family's 1533-position model. The record is from RNAcentral.
GAUGAACGCUGGCGGCGUGCCUAAUACAUGCAAGUCGAACGAAACUUCUUUAUCACCGAGUGCUUCCACUCACCGAUAAAGAGUUGAGUGGCGAACGGGUGAGUAACACGUGGGCAACCUGCCCAAAAGAGGGGGAUAACACUUGGAAACAGGUGCUAAUACCGCAUAACCAUAGUUACCGCAUGGUAACUAUGUAAAAGGUGGCUAUACUACCGCUUUUGGAUGGGCCCGCGGCGCAUUAGCUAGUUGGUAGGGUAAAGGCUUACCAAGGCAAUGAUGCGUAGCCGAAUUGAGAGGUUGAUCGGCCACAUUGGGACUGAGACACGGCCCAAACUCCUACGGGAGGCAGCAGUAGGGAAUCUUCCACAAUGGGCGAAAGCCUGAUGGAGCAACGCCGCGUGGGUGAAGAAGGUCUUCGGAUCGUAAAACCCUGUUGUUAGAGAAGAAAGUGCGUGAGAGUAACUGUUCACGUUUCGACGGUAUCUAACCAGAAAGCCACUGCUAACUACGUG